GAUGAACGCUGGCGGCGUGCCUAAUACAUGCAAGUCGAGCGAACAGACGAGGAGCUUGCUCCUCUGACGUUAGCGGCGGACGGGUGAGUAACACGUGGAUAACCUACCUAUAAUACUGGGAUAACUUCGGGAAACCGGAGCUAAUACCGGAUAAUAUAUUUAACCGCAUGGUUCAAUAGUGAAAGACGGUUUUGCUGUCACUUAUAGAUGUAUCCGCGCCGCAUUAGCUAGUUGGUAAGGUAACGGCUUACCAAGGCAACGAUGCGUAGCCGACCUGAGAGGGUGAUCGGCCACACUGGAACUGAGACACGGUCCAGACUACUACGGGAGGCAGCAGUAGGGAAUCUUCCGCAAUGGGCGAAAGCCUGACGGAGCAACGCCGCGUGAGUGAUGAAGGUCUUCGGAUCGUAAAACUCUGUUAUUAGGGAAGAACAAAUGUGUAAGUAACUAUGCACGUCUUGACGGUACCUAAUCAGAAAGCCACGGCUAACUACGUG
Molecule: ribosomal RNA, 497 nt
Filed under: uncultured bacterium
Lineage: Bacteria
Description: partial 16S ribosomal RNA
Rfam family: Bacterial small subunit ribosomal RNA
Source: RNAcentral